Molecule: long non-coding RNA, 25963 nt
Organism: Equus caballus (horse)
Lineage: Eukaryota; Metazoa; Chordata; Mammalia; Perissodactyla; Equidae
Source: Ensembl
CCAAAAAUAAAGCGGCGGAGCGGGGAUGGUUGUCGCAAGGGGCAGAGCGAAGUUGUCAGGCGGGGAGAGCGUGUGAGGCGGCAGGACGAUAAUGUGGCAUGACACUUCUGAAAUGAGCGGCCCGUUGCCAUGGUGAGCAGCCAGGAGGGACCGGCUCUCCCGAGGCUGAAAUAAAACACGCUUUAAAUGAUGUUUGAUUAGAAUUUAGAUCAUGUAACCGAAUACCUCAGUCCUCCUCUUCCCUGUGCUUUUCUGCUUUUCUUCUCAAUUCUCCCUUUCUUCCUUCCACCCACUCCUCUCCCUACCCCAGGGCAGACAGACACACACUCAUGCACACACACUCACAUAGGCACCCACCCGCAGCAUGUGCAUUCACACACAUGACAUGUACACGUACAUACACACAUGUGCCCGCACAUACCAUUCUCCUUUCUCCAGUUGUUCCAUGCCUUGGUUGGACCUUGUUUCAGGAAAUCCAGCUCAGAGAAGAUGCUGGGGACCCUUGUGGGGUCACAGCACUGGUCUCGGGCUCACUGGUUUAAGUGUCUGCUCUUCUGCUGUAAUGACAAUGGUACUAAAACAAUGCAAGUGGUCUAAGCCUUUUGUUUAUACCGCCCUUUAUCCUUCGCAAAGCUCUUCCAGUUGCAAGCUCGUAUUUGUUCUCACUGCAGCCCUUUGCCUGGGUGCCAUCAUACCCAUUUUCUAGAUGAGGAAGCUGAGGCUCGAAGAGGCCUAACGUCUAGUCCAAGGUCACGCAGCUGGUGGGACGUGAACCCAGGGCUUCCAUAGGCUGCCCUUUGGGCUCUUGGGAGAAGCCCCUUCCGAAGGAAGGGAGUGCAGCCAGCUCUCCGUCCUCUGGGCCCUCAGACCUUUACUUGUCUGAUGCGUUUUGAACACCUACCUUGCUCUUGGUUCUGGCCUGUGCGAACCAUCCAAAGGAUGGGCAGAGAGGUUCCGACCCACUUCUAGAGGGCUUGGGGACCCACUUUGUGAUUUUCUGGCUACUUUUUUGUUUGGUAAUGGAUUUAUGUUGCGUUUGUGGUGGUUUUCCAGGGCACGCCUCCCAGGUGGGGAAGACAGCUAAUCCAGGGAUGGAGGGCACUGCCGCUGAUUAUCUAGAGUGGGGACAGAGGCAGGCUGGCAGGUGUGGACAGGGAAGUAGAGGUGCUCCCGGAGUCUCCAUUCCCGUUGGUGCCCUGGACCUUCUUGGAGGACAUGGGGUGGAACCAUCAUCCUAUUUCUGUGUCAGAGAGACAUGGCUUGACCCCCUGUCUGUCUUCCCUAACAGCCCAGUGUCUCCAGAUUGUCUCUCUCAUUAUCAGCCAAUCCAUCCAUCCAUCCAUCCAUCCAUCCAUCCAUCCAUCCAAGCACUUAGCCAUCACAAGCUCAUUCAGCACCAGCUGUGGGCAGGACUCUUACUACAGAAGCAGGCCUAGUGUCUACCUUCACAAAUGUGGGGGUUUGUGGGCCAGGGGCGGGUGACCUGGAGACAGACACCCAAACACACGCACACACAUGCACACAUAGAAUCUUCUUCAGGGUAGAGUGUGAAAUGCUCUGAUGGAGGAGGGAGCAAAGUGCUCUGGGAACAUCAAAGAUACCAGCCCCAUUGUGUCUGGUGGGGAUCAAGGAAGGCUUCUCAGAGGAGGUGAUGUUUGAAGAAAGAGUAGCAAAUCUUCAGGUGGUCAGACCAGAAGGGGCAGCCCAGAGGAGAGACCUCGAUGCGCAGAGGCCCACCCUUCCCUUGCAGCUGGAAGCUCCCUGGGAGGGAGUGUAUCUCUCCCAUUAGACUCUAAGCUUUUGAAAGGCAGAGACUGGCCCUGCCCCGUGCAUCUCCCCACAGACUGGGGGUUCCCUGAGGGGGUAGUGUCUUCUAUUUCUUUUGUCUUUUGCUAGAAGUCAAAGCCAUUUAUUUCUUUGCACAUCCUGUUAGCUCUGUGAAAGCAGGGACCCUGCCUUAUAUGUAUAAGUGUCUGGCACAGGACCUGUUACAUAAAAAUGAGUCAACAUUUGUUGAGUUCUUACUAUGUGCCUGGCAUCGUGCUGAAUGCUUUACCUGUUAUUGACUCCUUCAGUCCUUACAACAGCCCUUUGAGGUCAGUACCACCAUCGUCCCCAUUUUACAGAUGGGGACACUGAGAGUCUGGGAGGUUAAUUAACUUGUCCAUAGUCACACAACAGGUAGGUGGCAGAGUCAGGAUCCAGACGUAGGCAGUCUGACUCCAAAGCUCAUGCUCCACCCUUGAAUGUUGCAAACAGACUUUAUUUACCUGUGAGUUCAGGGAGCUCGGCAUCCCUGUGUGAGCUGGAGGGGCAGCACCUGACCAGCAGCAACAACUCCUGGUGUUUCAAGGGCAGGAAAGAGCAGGUGGGGUAUUGGUGAGGAGACAAGCCACAGACUGGUGUGGGGUCCCCAAAGGGAAGGAUGGAGGUGGGAGGAACACAUAAGUCUAGAUGAUUUAGCCAGUCCAGGCUGGGCAAGGGCAGAGGAAGUAGGACCACUGACAUUGACUGGGGUGGGCGUGGGCAGGGGCAGGGAGAGACGCGGGCUGGGAGGCAGCUGUCACCUCAGACCAGGCCCCUCUUGUCCUCCUUUGACCCUAUCUGGUCACUGCCAACACUUGCAGCCACCCCUGGACCUCUGUAGCCUUUCUCAGCUCCCCACCCCAGGCUCUCCUUCCCUCUCCUUCCUUCCCUGGCCACCAGUUAGCUUCCUAUAACUUAGAUUUGAUUGCUUCUUUCCUGUGCUCCAAAACCUCCCGUGACUCCGCAUGACCGAGGGGCCCAAGCCCAGAGCCCCCACACUGCUCUCAAGCCCCAGCAUGAUCAGGUCACAGCCUGCCUUCCUGGCCUUGCCUCUCGCACCUUCUCCUCUUGCACAUUGGCCAGUUCUUGGUGCCCUUUCCCACUUGUGCUCACUCAGAGUGCCCUCUCCAGGAAUGCCCUUGCACAUCCCUCCUCAAAGGCUUAUUCUUUCUUUCUCUUGUGGGCUCAGCUGAAGUCUUUCCUACUCUGGAACACUUUCCUUGACCACUCCUUCCAGAAGGUGUGUAUCUUAGUCAGCUCAAGCUACUGGAACAAAAUACCAUAGACUGGGCGGCUUAAACAACAGGAAUUGAUUUCUCACAGUUCUGGGAAGUCCAAGGUCAAGGCACUGGCUGAUUCUGUUCCCUGGGGAGGUCCCAAUUCCUGACUUGCAGGUGGCUGCCUUCUCUCUGUGUCCUCACAUGGUGGAGAGAGGGGAGAGAGUUCCGGUCUUUCUUCUUACAAGGCACUGAUCCCAUCGUGGGGGCCUCACCCUCAUGACCUCAUUUAACCUAAUUCCCUCCCAAAGGCCCCACCUCCAAAUACCAUCACACUGGGGUUAGGGCUUCAGCAUAGGAAUUGGGUGGUGGUCAGGGGGGGCGGGGCACAAACAUUCAGUCCCUAACAGCACGUCUGGCGUAUGCAGUUCAGAGUCUCCUGUUGUCUAACUGUUUCAGGUUGUUUCCUCAGUUUGACUAUAAGCUCCUCGAGGAGCAAAUUGUGGAUGGCAAUAAUUGUGUGCUGAUGUACCUGACAAUAACAACUACCUAUUACAGGACCAAAAACAUUUACACCCAGGGAUCCCUAGCCUUUACCCUUCCUCCACCCCCAAGGAAGUUUCUAGAAGUUUCUGUGUUUGACCCUCUUUGAGCCCCAGUUGCUCUGAGGGGGUUGGUGUGUCAGAGGAAAAUUGAAAGAAGACCAGAAAUCUCGGAUUAAUUUCCUUUGGAAAAAGCAGAGCCUGGUGAAAGGCUAGAAGAGGAUAAAGGCCGAAGGGUGAGCCGGGCACCUGCAGGGGCUGGUUGUGAGGAUGAGGGGAGCCCCAGGCACUGGCCGAGCUGAGGGAGGGAGCAGGAGGUGGACAAAGAGGAAGCUAGGAAGUGUUUACUUUGUCUUAGGCAUGUAAAUGCCCUCUGAGAUGCUUGGUAAGAACUGGAACAGAAUUUUUCUGUGGUUUGGGGUGGACUGACGUUUUCUCGGAAUGCAGCCCCACAGGGUGGCACAGAUUAGGUGGGUUAUGCUGUCAUUUGGGGACCACUGGCUCUGGGGCCAGCAGCUACCUUUACCUGUAUUGUUUUGAGUCUCAGUAACACAGCAGGGUCGGUGCUAGGAAUGGUUUUACUAAGCUUUAGAGAAUUCAGGAACAGUGAGGGGAGAGGAGGAGAGGGAAAGGGGUGAAUCUGGCCCUCACUCAGGCCUUUAACCCUUGACCUCUAACCCCAGAGUUCUAUAUUAGGAUGGGGCCACCAUGGCCAUUAAGCUCCGAGUUAUUGGAGACGUAGGAGGCUCAUUAGGCUAGAAAAUGAUGAUAUCAGCUCAGCUCUACCCACGGGGCCAAAGGUGGAGCAGGCCCAGGCCUCUGCUGCCAUCAGAGCCCAGAGGAAGAUGUGAUUCGUUAGCGGGAAAGUCCUCCUGUGAAGCCCGAAAUGGGAGGGAAUGGUGGGGAGGGGAUGUUCUGGGAGAUGGGCAUAGGCAGGGCCCAGGCAACUGGAUUACUGAUCAUAAGGCCUGAGGCCAAGGACAGUCUUGAUUGCGUGGCUCACCAGCGUGUCAGUGGGCUUCACCUGUUAGUACAUGGGGCCUCUUGGGUCAGGGUACAACCUUACAACUAAGAGUACCUUUAUUUGGGGGUGACAGGUAGGGCUUGCUCCAGCACCAUACAGGAAGAACAGCCAGGGCUUGGAGGUCAGGAAAUCUAGGUUCUAGGCCCCCAAAUUUGGCUUUAGGGGAGUCCGUUAAUUUUGCUGCGUGCCUCAGUUUCUUCACUGAUAAGUUGUGGAUGCAAGAGUCCAUGUUGAUCAUCUCAGAGGGUGCCAUAAAAGUGACGGUGGGGGCCGGCCCGGUGGCGCAGCAGUUAACUGCGCACAUUCCGCUUUGGCGGCCCGGGGUUUACCGGUUUGGAUCCCGGCUGCGGACAUGGCACCACUUGGCACACCAUGCUGUGGCAGAUGUCCCACAUAUAAAGUAGGGGAAGGUGGGCACGGAUGUUAGCUCAGGGCCAGUCUUCCUCAACAAAAAGAGGAGGAUUGGCAGCAGUUAGCUCAAGGCUAAUCAUCCUCAAAAAAAAAAAAAAAAAAAAGUGACAGUGAUUUGAGAGGUCAAGUCCACUAUUUCUGUGUGAGCUGGGGGUGAGGGUGGGGUCACCAUAACUCUUUUAGUGAGCAGAAGCCUGAGGACCGGCCCAUCACAGGCUCACCCCUGGCAUCGGCAGCCCCAUCAGGGUGGGUACCAUUAGUGAGCUCUCUGCAGGGACAGGAGGGGGCCCAGGCCUGGCUGGAAUCUGCAGAAGGACAGAGCUGAAAGAGGGGGUCCUGGCAGAGAGGAACUGUCAUCCCUGCUUUUUAGGGCCCCUUGGGAGAGAUAAUUCUUUGUCCUCUCCCCUUACCCUCCAUUCUGCCAACUGACUUGGAGCCCAGCAAUGAACAGUCAUAGUAGUAACAACAAUAGCUCACAUGCUAACACUCAGGAGAAGUCCCCUGCUCCCCCAAACAAAGACCUAGACUUGGGCACCCCCACAGUGGCUGCUCACUGCUUAUGUGUUCUUGAGCAAGUUAGUUCAUCUAUAAAAUGGGCAAACAUUUAUUGAGCAUCUAUUAUGUGCCACGUUUAAUUUAAACCUCACCACAACCUUUUGAAAUUGGCCUUAUUUCCUCCGAUUAACAGCUGGGGAAGCUGAGGCACAGAGGGGUUAAGCAAAUUACCCAAGCUAAAUGAAACAGGCUGAAACUGAACUUAGCCUGUCUCAGUCUGGAAUUUAUGCUCUUUCUAUUUCUCCUCAUUCCUCAGAGCGUAAUCCACAAAGCCUCAAUUCCCUCAGUGUUAAUAAGUGUUGUGUGGAAAAAAAAAAAGGGUUCUGUGGUCAGGUCUGUUUAGGGAAGGCUAUUUUUCCAAAAGCUAAAUAAGUUUUUUGCUGCAGGACUUCUCAGAGCCUUUAUUAUGCUGGUGGAUUGGGUAGUUCCGAGAGAAGAGCAGAGUUAGUAUUAAUUUCUUUGCUGUGAUAAGUUUGUUGAGGGGAAUCUUGUGGGGGACGCAUUCCUUGGAACUCGCUUUGGGAAAAGCUGUGCUUCACCCUGCUACUUCCCUGAUUAACAACAAUAGUGAUGACAACAGCAGUAACGGUAACACCGUGAAAGGGAUCAUCACUAUCAUGUUAGCUUUGUCUCAAUUGCAAUGAUAUUUUUUGGAGCUUUUUCAGAAAAUCACCCUUUCCAUCCUCCGCUGUUCUAAGCAUCCUAAUCUCUUUCUUGAGCUCAGGGCAGUUCCAGCCUGUAGCACUCACAGUUCCUUCUGCCUGGAGCUUCUCUCUUCUCCCCUCCAAGCCUUUGCUUGGGCCGUGCCCCUCCGAUCGCCCCCCUCUUCCUCUCCGCCCCCUCCCCUUGCUCCUGAGGAGAAAGGGUCGUGGCCAGGGCAUGUGGUGGGACGGCGACCCUGCGUCUCCUCCCCAUCCCCCAGCUCACCUCCACAGGACACCGUCCCAGGAAAUUCAUUUCAGGGCCACCCACAGGCCACUCUGGGGCUCUCUCAGUCCUAUGGCACCUAGUUUAUGUUAUACACUGCGCAAGGUGAGUGUACCGUAUUUAUUUUUUUAAAAAUAGUUUCAUUGAGGUAUAAUUUUAUAUACCCUAAAAUUCACCCAUUAUAAUAUUCAUUUUAAAAUUGUUUAUUAUAUUAAUUUUUUCCAUAAGGAAAAGAGCACAAAUCAGUACAUAGAGUGUUGAAUUUUUACAAAGUGAAAAGCUCUGUGUGCUCAGUAGCCACAUGAGAAGCAGCCGCUCUCCAGCGCCGCAGAGCCUUCCGGGGCGUCCUCCCAGGCACCCCCAGGGUUAAACGAGCUCCUGACUCCUAACCCCACAGAGGGCUGUUUGAAAGUAUACUUGCCAGCCUUUCGCUUUCCUUUUUUUCUUUGUUUUCCUCUUCCUUCCCGCCUUCUUUCCCUCCCUCCCUCCUCUCGGUCUCUCUCUCUCUCCCUCCCUCUGUCUCUCCCUCUCCUCCCUCUCUCCCCCGCUCUCUCCUUCCUCUACCCCCUCACUCCCUCCUUCCUUUCCUACUGCCUCUGCUUCCAAAUAGUUUCUUUGAGGGUCUAGUAAGAGGCCCAGCAAGAGAGGAUGGAAAGCCUUCAGCACAGUGCUCUGGGAGGCAGUGCGAGGUGGGGGUCAGGAGCUGCAAGACCUGGAUCCCAGACUGGCCACUGCUGGCUGUGAAGCCUGGGGCUUCUGACUGAACCUCUCGGUGCCUCAGUUUCCUCAUCUGUGAAAUGGGAAUAACAACAUGACUGACUGCAGAGGGUGUAGGGAAGACUGAAUAAGGUAUUUUCACCUUAUGCCUGCAAAGUGUUCACCACGCACCUGUGCUGGGAAGCCUCCGGAAAGGUCGCCAGAUAACGGUUUGUUAUAAGACGAGACUUGGGGACGUGAGAUGAGAAUCGCUGCCGUUUUUGAGCACCAACUCCGUGUUAGGGCUUUACCUCUCCUCCACACGGUGAUCCUGCAAGGAGAGAUUGUCAUCUCCACCUUACAGCAGAGGAAAUGAGGCCCCCAGAGGCAAGGCCUGAAGACAUAGGUUGGUAAGUGCUGGAGCUGGAGCUUGAACCCAAGGAGUCUGGCCCGAGCACCCACGAUCCUGACCACUAGGCUUGCCUUAUAUUAAUAUGUCCUGGGCCACGGCCUUUCCAGGCCCCAUAGGGUCUGGCUGUAGCUGUGAGCUGAGCACUGUCCUCUGCGGUGGACGCCCUUUGCCAUGGUCCCGUCCUCCCAGUGACAGGACGAGUCACAGGGCUGCCCCCCUUGAUGGGCUCAGGAUGUCCUCCUGGGGGUUGGGUUCUGGGAGGGGAUGAGUUGCCCACGGCAGAGCAUGGAGGGAACUGCCUGGCGGUAGAGGGUUCAGACCGCCCUGGCUAUGCGCAGUGCCUGGGCCUCCUGGAAGCACAACCUUCAGCCCAGAGAAGAGCCGAGCCCUAGCCAGGGGUGGCUACAGGUCAGCACUCAGGGUGUCGGAGAGGAGCAGCCACACCCUGCAGUUCUCCUUGUGGGGCCCAGUCCUGCCAGGCGGGCCUCAUGGCAUGGGGGGUGCAGAGCAGGCCCAGGCAGGUCAGGCAGAGGGUGCUGGUGGCUUCUCUAGCUGGGAUGGGGCCGAGGUGGUGUGAUUUGUCCCCCACCCCUGCUGAGCGCUCAGUAAACAGUGGGUCAUAGACUGCCAAGUCGUCUCCAACGGAGGGAGGGGUCACAAGGCAGGGGCUGUGUCCUCUCCAUCAGACUAGCUCCCUAGACUAGUCUGGGGCCCUGAGGCCUCCUUUCUGCCCGGCUUCCAGAACUAAUGGCUCUUGGUGUGGCCUCAGGGUGGAGGGCGAUGAGGGCAUCCCCACCUGGUGCCUCAGCCAACCCCUCACUUCUCGGUGGGCUUGGCAGGAGCGCUGACUCCACCUGCCCUCUUGCUGGCCUCAGCUGUCCCUGCCCUGACCUCUGGGUUCCCUGGGGCCAGCCCGGACAUCUGUAUCCAUCUUGCCCCAAACUCUGGAGAUUCUGACAAAUUUCCUUUCAUUGCUUCCAGCCAUGUUAUUUAAAGUAAUUAACCUUAAUUUAUAAAUUUUUAUAUCAAACUGCCUUUUAACUUUUAGAACUGGCAGGAGCAGCCUUAUCCCUGGGCUCCUAAUAGUUCUCCAUUUAAUCAAAAUUCAUCCAUCAGGUUCCAGUGUUAAAUCAUCUUUUAAUUGGGAGUUACAUUCUGGUUAAUAGUUUUAUAAUUCGCCUCCUCUAAUAGUUUUUACCACAGGGAUCUCUACUCCAUUUUUCCUCACUCUAUUAUUGCCGAGUGGGGUUCUGCGGGGACAGACGGCUUAGGUGGGCCCCGCCUCUCUGGCCUCUGCCGGUCGCCUCUUUUGUUCUUGGUGGUCUCAUUAAUUCCGAGAAGAGUUCUCUUCCCUCCUCGUUACUAGGGCAGACCUACUCUCCUCGUGAGGGACAGCCGUCUCGUUUCCACAGCCUUCAGAGCUGUGGCCAGGGCAUGACUCUCUCCAAGAGAAAGCAGAGAAACAGAAAGAGAGAGAGAGAAGGACACAGAAAGAGAGAGAGAGAUGGAGAGGAAGGAAGCUUCCGGAGACCGGCAGGUCAGGCCACCGCUGUGGGGCAGUUACUGGGGAGAGAGAGGCAGAGGAGUUUGGAAAUGGACAUGGCCCCAGCCUUGGGUCUUUCCUGGCUCCUGCCUGCCACCCCUCGGCCACAGCCCCUCCCACCUGGGAGUUGAUGAUGUAGGAAGGAGAAUGGACCUGAGACCCCAGAGCGGCUGGGCCUGGGGAAAUCCUGGAGGUCGGCGGGGAAGUCCAGGACCACUCCUCAUUCACUCUGGGCUGCUUCUGCGCUUGCUGCUCCAUCAGAAUAUUCACAGAGGAGUCACUGACGGCGAGACGGAGAGGGCAGAGAGGGUGUGGAGACCACAGGAUCAGGAACAGGAAGCGGGGAGAGAGAUCUGAGAGAGACAGGGAGGAGGGGAAGAGUCAAGAGCAAGAAAACAAAGAGGGAAGAGAAAGAGGGGAGAGAAAGGGAAAGGAAGGAAGGCAGACAGACAGACGGAGGACGGGUGCGGAGGAGACACUCUAGGGUCCUUCUGUCCGAGAGCCCUGGACGGCGAGCAGACAAGCUUGUGGGCACAUGCACAUCCACGUGUGCACACACGUGCACAGGCCUGAAACCAGACCUACGAGUAGCUAGCAUAGGGGUGAUGCUGGAUUGGGGGCCAGGCCUGGAGCCUGCGGGUAGGGUCUCUGAGAAGGCCUCAGGGAGGCGGACUGGAAGGGGUGAGUGAGGGGCCAGGGAGGGAUGGAAGCUGGGUCCCCAGGACCUGGGCUGAGGCCACAGAUGUGGACGUCCCUGGGGCAGGGGGACUUGGGGGCUGGCCUCAGCCCCCUCCAGCUGGUGACUUUCCAUCCCAGUGGGUCUCAGCCCUGACUGCGUGUUGGAGUCAACUGGGGAGUGUUUAAAGGCCCAGUGCCCUGGCCCUCCUUCACACACUGCAGUGGUUUUAAAGUAUAUCCAUACAUUCUUUGACACCUCUCCCUUCUAAAGGUGGAAUCAAAUUUCCUUCCCCUGGAAUGUGGGCUCCUUCUAACAAAUAAACAAAAACAGGCAGAAGUGACAGUGUGAGGUUUAGGAGGUUAGGGCAUAAAAGGCACUGCGGCUCCCACUUUGCACUCUUGGAUCACUCACUCGGGGGAAGCCAAGUCACAAGGACACUUAAGCAGCCCUAUGGGGAGGCCCAUGUGGCAAGAAAUUGAAGCCUCCCGCUGACAGCCAGCGAGCAGUAGAGACUUCCUGCCGAUAGCCAUGUGAGUGAGUCAUCUCGGAAAUCAAGCCCCAGUCUAGCCUUCAGAUGACUGCAGCCCUGGCAGCCAUCUAACUACAACCUCACCAGAGAUCCUGAGUCAGGACCACCUGGCUAGCUGCUCCUGGAUCCCUGACCAUCAGAAACCAGGAAAACUCUCAUUGAGCCCGUUUCACGGAUGAGACGGCUGAUGCUCAGAGAGCCUGAGUUGGAUCCUGUCGUCAAGGAGUUGGAGCCGCUGAGACUUGGCUGACUCAGCCCAACGGACCUGGCUGGCUCUGGUCUCUGGCAGAAGGCGAGGUGAGUGAGGGGACAGAGAAAGAGGGAGGAGAGGGAGGGGAGGAAGCAAAGCUCAAUGCAGAGCUGGCCCCUUGGGGCUGAGGAGCCCGUGUGUGUUUGCGGGGGUCUGAAGAGGGGGUCGGAGAGAUUGACUGGCACUUCUAGUGCCCUCAGUUGCUGGAGCCAGGCUGGCGUUCACCUGCAAUGCCAGCAGGUGGAUGUCCAGCUCUGGGUGGGCCGCUGAUCAGCCUCCUGCCUCACUUUGCUACCUUCACAAUAGGACUGUCACUGAGCCUAGGGGUGAUGGAACAGCUGAGGGGACCAAGGGGGGGACCUGGCAGCAGAAAGGGGAGCAGGGGAGAGGGUUUGUUCCCUUGAAAUCUCAGGGCUUUUAGCGCUGCCAGUCGGGGUGGGGAGGCGUCAGAACCCCUCCAGCCUUGUGGAAUGAAGUGUUUCUUUUCCCCAGUGGGUGAAGCGGGUGGUGGGGGGAAGGAAUAGAGGAGUGGUGGAGGAUAGGAAAUGCACUGGAGAAGCAGUGAGAGAAGAAGGAAAGAGACAGGGAGACCCAGCGGCAGCCUGAGCCGCAGCUGCAGAUCCUGACCCCAUAGGAGAGGCCAAGCUUGCAUCUUUGGAGUGGUGGCAAGGCUCCAGGAUCUCCGUUUCCAUGGGGAAGAAUUUGGACUCUGCUGCGUGGGGAGAAGGCCCAGCUUCCUCUGGAGUCCCUUUUGGGCAUGGAAGGGGCCAGCAGGGCUUCUCCAGGCCAGGGUUCCUCCCCCUCAGCUUAGAUUUGCAUGGAUGAGGCUGGGCUCACCUCCUUCAGCCACAGUUCACAGUAGUGGCACAGCCCAGGAUCCACUGAUGCCCAAGUCCUGCCUGGGUUUUGGCUUCUUGAUUAUCCUGGGAGGAGGGGUACCUAACCAGGCCCCUUUUUCACCCCCACCACCACAUGGCUGGCUUUCUGGAGGGAAGUGGGUGAGGCUGAGAGGCGAUGGGGUUGGAGGAAGGGCAGGAAGCAUUUCUCGGGAGCCUCCCGGGGAGGGGCAUUUUAUGUACCUGCCCUUUUGACUCAGCACCAUCUGUGGGGCAGAAAUUAUUACUCCCAUCUUACAUGUGAGGAAAGCCAGACUCAGAAAGGUUAAUUAAAUUGCCCAAGGUCACCCAGCCAGGCAGUGGUAGAAACCAGGAUUUGAAUCCAGGUCUGGCCCCAGAGUCUGGGCUCCUUCCAUGCUGCUGCGUGCAUGGGAUUAGGAGUGGAAAUGGAGGGAGAGCAGCUGCCGUCCAGUUAGGCCAGGAAUGGAGGGACUGCCGGAGUGCAUUGGGGCAGGGUGAGCAGGCUGCCUGUGUCCUCAGACUCGGAGAAUCACAGGUAGAAUCCUGGCUUUGCCACUCUCCACCUGAGUGAGGUUUGGCCAGGCCCCUCUCCUCUCUCAGCCACAUAUGGAUGGAGGGGCUGUGAGGGUCCCCUGGAUGUUUAUGAGUGAUGGAUGAGAAAGCAAGUGAAGAUGUGAGGAGGAGGCCCACCUAUUCUAACUCGCUGGAGUGCCAACUUGGACUUGGGUCAGAGUCCCUGCAGGGACCCAGUUGCUGAAUCUCUGCCCUACUACGCCCACCUAAAUGAGGUCCCCCAGCCUUCCCCACACACCACGUGGAUGCCAAGAGAACCAGCUGAUAGGCGGUGUUGGGGGGGGUGCACAUACUGGUGGCCCUGAUUCUGGUAGCUGCCUGUCGCACGAUGGCAUCCCCUCCCCUGUGAGGUCACCCUGAGAUCUCUCUUUCCAGGUUGGGUUAGUUGCUGUUAAUUAAACCAAUUGUUGGACUUAAUGCUCAUCCCAUUAACAUGUCUCCUAGACCUAUUAAUCACAGACAGUAGAGGAAGGGGACGGGAGGUUUGAGGGGUUUGGGGGGUGUGUGGAGGGUCCUGAAAACCAAGCCAAGCUGCCUCAUGAAGAAGAGAAGGGGCCUGAGACACCUGAGCCUACCCCUUGGGAGUCUCGGAAACUUCCAUUCCAGCCUCAGAAUUCCGGGAAGCCCACUGCACCUGCAUCCCCUGAGGUCCAGCUGAGGCCUUUUGGCUGCCGUGAGCUUUGGGACUUCUUUCCCACUCAGCUUCCCUGGAGCCUCUGGAGCAGAACCAGCGAGAGAGUAGAGGUGACGGCAUGGGUUUGAGCUGGGGGUCAAGAGCUCAUCCGUGAGGUCAGAGAGGAAGGUGAGGAGGUUCAGUGGGAAGGAGUGAGGGUUCCAGUAGGAGAGCCAGGGUUACCCCUGCUCCACCUAUGCACCCCUGUCCCAGUGCUGUUUCCUCUACAGCUCCUUGGGGCCAGGUGGGACUCCCCAAAUACCCCACUUCUCUGCUCAGGCCUUCGUGGGGGCGGGGUGGACCCAGAGGCAUAUGUUGGGCUCAGGCAGGGGUGCUCAGACAUCCGUGGGCCUCCCCCUCCGGCCUUCUUCCUCCCUCCUUCUCUCCCUGCUGGACCCGGCCCCCUCCCUCCAGUGUCAGGGGCCAGCUGGGGCAGGGAGGGAGCUAAGGUGGGGCCAGCAGAAGGUGCAUAAAUCAUUAUCGGCGAAGACCUCAGCCCUGAGCCGCUGGGUGGAGGCUGCUGCUCAUGGUUCAGGCCAGGGCAUAAAUCAUAAUUCCCCUACAAUAGAUCCUUUUGCAGCCGCCAUCAGGAAAACUGUGUUGGUUUUAUCGAUUUUUUGACACGGGGGCCUAGGCAGCGGGCGGCUCCUGAAUCAUUAUGAAAUGAAACUGAUUAGGAAUUCAUGGAAUACUAAAUAAACUUUACGAGCCCGUUGUAAGUUUUUUGAUGCAUGGGGAGCGGAAAAUGAAAACUAAUGAUAUAAAAAUUACACAGCGUGCUGAGUAUUAUUAUACCGCUAUUGAUUUGUUUCAAACUGUACAUCAAAAUCGAAGAGGGCUGGGGUGGCUCCUGCAGCGAUGCUGGGAUGUUUGGGCUCACCAGGGCUGGAAGACAUUUUUUCCUCCUAUUUUUAUUUGUUUUCUCUUUCUCUUUCCUUUAGCCUCCCUGCUCUGUAAUUGGACUCCUUACUCCCCAUCCCCACUCUUCCAGGGGAGGCCCCAGGGGGCCACCUAGCCACCCACCCACAGGGCAGCCUCCUCCUCAGCUUGGAACCUGGACCCUGGCUCAACUUGAAUUCUGGGCCUCCACUGGUCUUUCUCUCAGGAGCUGCAUUUUCACUCUGUGAGUUUCUCUCUUCUCUUCUGCUUUCCCCCUGUUUCUCUGAGGAAGGACAGUAUGCUUCAGGGAAAAGAGUGAAGAUCUGUUUCCUGAUUAGCACCUUGCUGUGUGACCUUGGGCACGGCACUGUGCCUCUCUGAAUAUCAAAAAGAUUGGACUUAUUAGAUCAAGGUUUCUCAAAGUGUGGUCUGUUGACAGCCCAUAUGUCAUCUUCAGAGCUUGUCAAAAAACGAAUCUGUGGACCCCCCUUGAUGAACUGGCUCCAAAUCUCAGGAGGGGGAUCUGGGAAUCUGCAUUUCACUAAGUAUCCCAUGUGACUCCUGUUCAUGUUCAAUGGAAGCCACUGUACCCUUUGAUUUGAAGCAACGUGGGGAGCCACUUGGCUCCCCAUUGGGUUGUCAUAAGUGGCCUUAAAGCUGUGCGCGUUGCCCUCUGUAGUAGUUAGCUUUUGCUAACUAAUUGUUUGCAGUAACAAUCUAUCCCCAAAUCUCAGUGGCUUACACCAACAAAAGUUGACUUUUUGCUCAUGGUACAUAUCUGCUGUGGGCCGUUGGUGGCUCAGCUCUAUAAAUCUUCAUUCUGGGGUUCAGAGUGAAAAAGCAGGCCUGAUCCAAGAUAUGUUAUUCUGGGGGCAGAGGGAAAAGAUCAAGAAAGAUGGUGGAAACAUGUGACACUCCUAAAGUUUUUGCUUGGAUGUCACUUCUGUUCCUCUUCCGUUCACCAAAAGGAGCCAUAUCAUCAAGUCCGGUGUCAAUGGAGUGGAGAGUACAUCCUCCCACAGGGAUGGGCACAGGGAGAAGCCCUGUAGGGAUGAGUCAGGAGAGAGGGCAGUGAUGCUGUAAGAGGCUUGGGCUUGGGUCUAGGCUGCCCCAGGAUUUGGGGUCCAGGGUCUUGUCUGGAUGGACCAGGGGGUUUGGCCUGAUGCAAUUAAGAAUGGAGCGGCUACUUUACACAGAUGUACCCACCUUACACAAUCAUGUGUCUCCUUGACAGUUGCCCACUGACUUCUUCCUCUGCCCGCUCUGAGAUCCUGGCCUUCCUCUCCGGGGUCCUCAGUGGGCAUGGCUUCAGCCCUUUGUCUCCAAGUGUCUGUGUUUUCAUCUUUCUGCCUGCCUGCUGGGGAGGCCUGUAAACUCCCACCCUGGCCUCUCAGUGUCAUUCCCAGAACCAGAUAACCUCCCAGCUCUGGGCAUGCCAGAGUGGCAUUCUUUGGAAGCCCAUUUAUACUUGAUGUCAGGGAUCCCUUGAGGACAACCACUGUGUUAACUUGGGCCUGGGAGAUGUCAGGGAUGUCAGCGGCACAAGCCUGGCCCUUGAGGACCUCAGUAUCUCUCUGAGGACACAGAAACACAUCCAUGCUAUGUACACACACUGCAUGCAGACCUUUUCAGAACUAAACAAAUGAAUCACACGAUGGUCCAGAAUGGACUCAGGAUGAAGAGUCUUCAGGUUUGAGUUGGAAUCUCAGUUCUGCCCCUUACUGGUUCUGUGGCUUUGGAUGUUACUUUGUUUUUCUAAAUCUGGGAUUCAGUUUCCUCCACUGUCAAAGAUGGAUUUGGAUUCAAUUCAUCUCAGAUUCCUUCCAGGGGAUUAGAGUGGGCAGCGGUUAACACAUUGGCACAAUUCCUACAAGAUGUUGAUGCCUAAAUUAGUCCCAACUCUUUUCACUUUGGGGAAAGAGCCAGAUAGAAACCUAAACUCAAGCUGGCUUGAGCAGAAGGGAGGUUACUGACUAUUGAAGAGGGGAAGGGCGUCUUUAGGGGCAGUGUGAUCCGGAAGUUCAGAAAACAUUAUCAAAGAUCCGUCUUCACCUCUCAGCUCUUCUUGGCUUCUUCUAGGCUGGGCUCUUCCUCAGGCUUGCUCUCUCCCUGUGAUCACAAGACGGCUGCCUAUAGCACUAGGCCCACAUCCUAAUGGUUCAACAAAGGGAGCAUCUCCUUCUCAGUAGUAACAGUAAAAUUCUCAAGACUGAGUGUCACUGGCCCAGGUUAGGUCACAUGUCCUCCCAUGAACCAGUCACUGUGGCCAAGGGCGGGGGGAGGAUUUCAGGCCCAUAGCCAACCCUGGAGCUUGGGAGUGGGCUCUGCCUCUGAGGGCCACAUGGACUCAUAGUGGGAGGGGGAUGCAGGCACCAAAGGAAAUUUGAGGUAGUUUUAAAAGAGAUAGAUGCCAGGCAGAUAAAAGCCAUACGUGUCCCCUGAAGUCCCUGAGGUCGGGGGCAGGAGCAGUGGGCAGGAUGAGGGCAGAGCCUGUGAGGAUCUUCUGGCCCUAAGUCAUGUCUGCAACUUUGGCGACAGCUGGGAUAAAGCCCAAGGCUGGAGGUGAGGGGUCCUUCCGCUGUCGGGGGAGUGUCGAGACAGAAAUGCAGCGCUGAGGCUGCCUGGGGCAAGGGGACAGAGUGCCCGUCUUCAUUUCUGCAUCAGCAUGGCUGGUGAGCCCUGAGCAAUGCUGAUCUAUAAAGUUACACACCUGGGGGCGCAUCCGGCUUUACCUCCUCCCAGCUGUGUGACCCUGAGCCAGUCCCCUACCCUCUGAGCCGAGUUUCUGAGGACUGAGUGGGAAAAUGUAUGUGCUGGCCCCACUCUGGCUUCCAGAAGCUGCUCAGGUAGGACUCCUCUGCCCCCUGGAGAAUCCAUCCUGGGUUCUGAACUAAUAGGUCUGCGGAGUCCUCCCCUCUGGUCUUUGAUGGAGGGCAGGACCACAUCACAUUCGGGGUUGUUCCCAGCUUUGGCACCACGCUGGUGCAUGGUCUGCAGUCCAUGGAUGGCUGUGGAAAGGAGUAAUUGAUCGGGCAAUCCUCCACAUGCGGGACCUGAAUGCAGGUCAGCCUCUGCUCUACCCCCACGCUCACUCUGUAGCACGUAUCACAUAUAUAUCCAAUUCCCAAAGUGUGGGUGGGCAGAGGGGAUUUUACUGAAGUUUCCAUGGUAAGACAGGGGAACAGAUGACAUCACACAGCACACUCCAAACUAGUUACACCACUCGCUGGGCUUCUCUCUUCUCUUCUUCCAGACAGCACUUAUUCCCUCCUCUCCAAUCCCAGUUUCUUUAAAAAAAAAAACAACUCAAAACCUCAUUUUGUGUCCAUGCAGCAAAAUAAAAGCCUGAUGGGACACAGACCACCUGGCCUAGGCCCCCACGAUGACCCCAUUUGACUUGCUUCAUCCCCAUCUUUGCACUACGGCUAACCACUUAAUCCCCACGAGCCCUCUGUGCCCCUGGAUGCCCAACAAUCCCCUCAAACUGCCCCCUAUAUUGAUACCCUGAGGCUCAGAGAGGGGAUGUGACUUGCCCCGUGUCACCCAGCCCCAAUGCAGGGCUCCUCCCACAAUGCCCUGGCUGUGCUGAGGGGGUCUAUGUUUGGCCCCCCCCAUGCCCAUUUGCCCCCGUGGGUGGGAGAUGUGGAGUGGGGCAGGCUUGCUCCUGGCUGGCUGGCUCCCCUCACGGAGUUUGGGGUGCUACACACGUUACAUUUGAAUGUGGCUCUGAGCAAGCCAUUCAUCCGUUCUUGACCAUAUCGACUGCGGAAUUGAGUGCUACAAGUAAGAAGGAGUUUAGCUAUUAUUCUCCUACUGAUUUGAUUUAAUGUUUGGUUUAUUCCUGUCCCUCUCCCCCCUCCUCAUCAGUUUGACAUUUGCAUAGUGUUUCCCUGCAGUUUUGUAGAACACACGGUUUUUCUGGUAACUCCCUGCUAUGGUUUUAUUCGGAGGAGGUUUUUUGUUUUGUUUUGUUUUUUUGAGGAAGAUUAGCCCUGAGCUAACAUCUGCAGCCAAUCCUCCUCUUUUUCCUGGGGUAGACUGGCCCUGAGCUAACAUCCCUGCCCAUCUUCCUCCACUUUAUAUGUGGGACGCCUACCACAGCGUGGCUCGCCAAGCAGUGUGUAAGUCUGCAUCUGGGAUCCGAACUGGAGAACCCCGGGUUGCCGAAGCAGAACGUGCAAAAUUAACCGCUGCGCCACCAGGCCGGCCCCCAUUCGGGGCAGUUUUGAGCCCGCUGAGGCAUCUUCUUCCUUCCCUACUCUGAAUUUUUUCUCCCCACUUGCUGUGGGGAGGGGCACGUGAAAAACCAGAUUUCCCUGUUCUUGCCCCUUUGUGAGCCUUUAUGAGUCCUGCUGCCUGGCAGCCUUCAGGUGUUCCUGUGUGUCCUGGGCGCUGGGGGUCUCAGCGUGCUCAGGAAUAAGUCUGCCCCCUACCGCUGGGUAACCUCUGCCAAUGCCUCAGAACACUUAGGGUGCUGGAGCUGCCCAUUGGUGAGGUGGCGUGUUCUGUCCCCUCUGUCUCUUGUGCUGCCUUUUGUCAGAGGGACCCCAAACAGGGUGCUCAGGCCUCAGGGUUUACAGAAUACCUGGUGGCCUUAGUUUGAUGUCGCCCAGAAGCAGACUCCUAAACAAGGAUUCAGUGGAAAUGGUUUAUCUGGGACGUGAAAGAAAGUCUGGGAAGGGGUGGGACAUAGGACAGGGAGGGGUACCCCCUGGGCUAGUUGAGCUCCAUCCCAUCCCAGCUCCCCAGGUUGCCCAAUAUGCCUGAGCCCCCAGGGUGAGCAUGCCAGGGAUGGGAGGGGCUCGAGUUGGGAGCCCUCCUCCCCACGAGAAGGCUAUUGAGCCCACUGGGAAAGGGUCCAGUCAGGACAGGAAGGCCUUUAGCAGAAAUCUGCAGGCUCCUGUCCCAACUCCUGUGUCUGGACCCCUUUCUCCAGCUGGCCCUAGAGCAGAGCUAGAACCAGUGGGAUGAGGUCGCAGGAAGGCAGCCAGAAUCUCAAAAGGAAGCCGACACGUAGGCAAAUGCAUCAACAACUCAAGGGUAAAAAGCGAUCAAGCAGAGGUUGAGUGAUCACCUGCCCAGGGAUGCCGUCAGCAGAAGGCAGGGAAUCAGCACAUAUUAAACACCAACUAUGUGCCGGCCCUGGAUAGUUGGGACUAGGAUUCAAGAUCAUUAAAGGCUGGGGCCCAUGUUUUAUUUUCCCUUGGGGCCUAGCACUGUGCUUGGGUCCUGGUAGGUAAAACCUAGAAUAACAGGAAAUAACAGGAAAAAUGGUCAUUUACAGUCACCUUCUAGGCACUAAGUGCCUUAUAUUCAUUGUAAUGAGUCCUUAUGACUCAUUACAUUCAUGGUAGGAACUAUUAUCCUCAUUUUAUAGAUGAGGAAACUGAGGCUCAGUGGGGUUAAAUGACUUGACAUCUAAGUGACAAAGCCAGGAUUUGAACACAGGUCUGUCUGCCUUCUCUAGUCCCUGAUUUUCCCCCUCCCUUGUUGCAUGUCCCUGCCCUGCGAGGAAGAUUGGACUACAGAUGUCCUUGGAAGGCCCUCCAACUUCCGAGGGUCUUUCUUGUUAGCCAGCGCCCCCCCUUGCCCCUGCUGACCGCAAAGAAAAGGAGUCCUUCCUCCUCCUCAGGUGGCUCAUGGCGGAUUACUUAGCGCUUGACACGGCGUGUCUCUGUGUCUCUGUUCCCGGGCGGAAUUAAAUCAGGACAGGAAAAUAUUAAUUUGGAGUUGGGGAUGAGGCCGCUCCUUUCCAAUUACUCUCCACCCCGUCAGGCUUAUCCUGGCGCAAACAAGGAAAGAGGCUGGAUUAAUUGCUUUGGACUCUGCCCCACUCCAGUCCCAAUUACUGGGCCGGCUUGGCUCCCAGCAUUAUGAAGUGCACUGCUGUGCAGGAAAUUGUGUGAAAUUUUAACGGAUUUUCAGAUGCAAUAAUAGAGCACAGGAUUCGGGGCCAGCAUUUGCCGGGCGGCUGGGCCCUCUGUGCCUCAGCUGAGGUUAAGCUGUUUGGGGUUUCUUUGUGUAUUAAAGGAUCAUCUGAUUAACUCCAAACCCAGGGCCCCCAGAACGGUCCAGACCCUGACCCUGCAGAGGCAGGGUGGGCUCCUGGAGGUCAAGGAAGCCCAUUGCCUUGGUAAUAAUGACACCAUUUUCUGAGCUUCCUCACGUGCCAGGUGCUUACCUACAACAUCUGGAAGCCCCAUCCUUUAGGUUCUUAUUUUUUUUCCAUCUUAGAGAGGAAGAAAAGGGGACACAGGUGUUAAGUAAUGUGCACGAGGUUACCUGGUUACUUAGUGGGGAAGCCGGGAUGGGAACCCAGGUCUGUCUCUAAAACUACCCUCUUUUCUGGCAUCGCUCUGCCUCCCCCCUCAUCUUCUAUUCCUUCUUCUUAAGGAAGCAUUAUGAAUGUGUCUCUCUCACCACACUGGAGCUUCCAGGGUACGAGGUCCUUUCUUGUUCCGUCUCUACAUCUUCAGCCACUGUCAGGGCACCUGGCGCACAACAGGCACCCACCAGAGGUUUGUUGAGCUGCAGUGAAUUUGAUGCAGCUCCUGGACUCCAGGAUUUACUAAUGGAAUGAAGGGGAUGGGCUAGUGCAGCCCAGAGACAUCUCUGGAUCCAAGAGAACCAGCCCCACUGGAGCCCGUCUGGAACCCAGAGGAGGAAGGAGAGAGGGGAACCUAGCCCCGCCCUAGUGUGUAACAAGCGCUGCUUAAGUGCGUCUCGUGUAGAGUUUCUGCUCCUCCUCACCAUGACUGUCAGAGAUAGGUGGCAUCACCCACACCUGAGAACAACGGAAAUGAGGCUCAGAGAGGUAAGGCCUGGGGUGUGGGUUUCCAGCUCCAGGGUUUCCACAUCUCUUAAAGCCAUGGCACCUGUGGUUAAAUGGUAACAUUCUACUCAGAAGUUUAAUAUGUCAAGCUGGUAAAGUGGAAAGGCUCCGGUGAAAGAGGGACAUUGGGACCCUGUAUGGCCGCAGAGGAGUUGGGGGACCAGGACAGAGCUGGCAAGAGUGGUGACUGACUUGGAGAAGGGGACAGUGGUAAGGAGCUUGGGGCAGUAAGUGCUAUGUAGUUCACAAACCUCAGACUUUCUUGGGGCCACCUCACGGAGAGACAAUGAGGCUCGUGUGGUAGAGAUGAUGAGGGAGGUGGAGGAAUGGGGUGAAGCCUGCGUGAUCAUCAUUAGCUGUCCAAUUCUCGCCUGCCCCGUUUAGCAAAAGGAGAAUUAAUUAUGUGCAAGGGAUGCCCCCUUAAUGGCCAUCAUUUAGUUUAAUUUAAGAAACAGGUCUCUCCGCACACCCUCUUAGCCGGCAGCCCCACCACUGGCAGCCGCCUUGAUUAAUGGCCUCCUCCUGGGUACAGGAGAGCAGUGGUUCUCAAACUGGAGCAUGCCUCAGAAUCUCCUGGAGGGCUCAUUAAAACAUGGUUUGCUCAGCCCCACCCCUGGGUGGUGUCCGAUAAUUUGCAUUUCUUACAAGUUCCCAGGUAAUGCUGCUGUUACUGUCUGGGGAACACACUGGAAAUCACUGUAGUGGAGACAGGGUUUCAUGCAGCGCCAUCAUAGCACUUGAGAACUCGGUCCCUCACCCCCCAGGGGUCCUCUAAUCUAAUGGGGCAGAGGCAUAGCCAUCUCUGCCAUUUUACUACCCCGCAAGGGUAUGUGUCCCUCCAGUGAAAGAUAAGUGCAUUUUCUCAGCAUCUCAGUGGCCCCUCCCCUCGGCAUUUCUGUUCAGAGAGGCCUGGAGGAACGCCAAGGGCCUGGUUCCUUGACCACUCCACUGAGAUGCAGCCCCUCCUAAGCUGGGUUCUGGGGACACCCACUUACUUCAUCCUCAGCCUCAAAACCCGAGAGGCCCAAGGGAAGCUGCACCCUGUUCUGCAGGCCCUCUGCUCCUAUCCAUCAGGUGAGAGGUCAGGCAGCCAGCGUCUCUGGAGGCCUGGCAGUGGCAGGAGGACACCUACAAUUAGAGGCCUAAUUGUGGGCCACAGGCAGCCUCCCACCCCCAUGGACUCGGCUCUGCAGGCUUUGCCAGAACUACCAUCCAGAGAGCCUGUUUGCACCUGUGUCAAGGAGAGCUCAGGAAACCUAAUUAGCUAGUUUGGUGUUUUAUAAUUAGAUCCUUUAAAAUAAUUCAUAGGUGGUGAUAAUAAGCCCAUUUAGAAAUCUAUUAAGCUUUGGGGGAAGUUGAAGGGAAACCUUGUAACUAUGUGCAUGCGUGCUUUCUCUUUCCCCUCAGUGUCUCUUCCCUCCACUUCUCUCUACUUCUCCUCCUGCCCGCUGUCCCCAUCUGCAUCCUCACUUCCUCUGACUCCUCCACCAUGCUAAGUGCUGAGGCCCUUUGAUUGCCACUGUUGGUCAGGCAGUGGUGCGCACUGGUUCAGUUAAUCCCCCCCACAACCCGGAGUGGGGUACUAGCAUUAUCCCCGUCUUACAGACCAGGGGACUGGAGUGCAAAGAGGUUAAACAUCCCCGCCGAAGCUACACGCCCUUAAGUAGCUGAGCCAGAAAAGCUGAGUCUGGAUGGUCUAGUUCUUAAUUUCUCACUUUCCUCAGCCUGCGUCACCCUGUCCACCCACAGCCCUGGUCCUCCUUGCUCCAGUGCUCCCACCAAGCCGGCUGAGCUGAAAUUUUACAAAUCACACUCCUAUUUUCUCAAAGAAUUGGUGCCAGGGCUUCAGCGCUAACUUCAGAUGGGUCCGUAAUGGACAAUGGCUUCGAAUACAUUUUGCUUCCCCAGCAACUCUUCCCACUUGGAUUUCUGCCAAGGUAGUUCGGUAGAAGGAGCAGGUUGAACGCUUCCCUCCCUCCCUCCUUCCUCUCUUUCUUCCAUCCUUCUUUCCUUCCUUCCCUCACUCCUUUCCUUCCUUUCUCCUUUCUUCCCUCUCUCCCCUCACCUCCUCCUUUCCCUGUGCUGGGGCUGAGGAGCCAGAGAUGGAGUCAGCCAGUUUCUAGCUGAGGAGCCCAAGGGGUCCCCUAAUGCCUCCCUAUCUUCAUUAGACACCCCAUCUCUCUCUUACCACCCUAUGUGUUUCCCUCACGGCACCUAUCAUCACACGACAUUCCCUCGAAGAUCUGCUCGCUUAUUCAUUUACUCGUUUAUUGCCUAUCUCUCCCCAUUGGAACGCAAGCAUCUAGAGGGGCAAAGACGGGUCUGUGUGUCUCUGAUUUCCUGGGGCCUGCACUGCUUCCUAGCACAGAGCAUGAUUCAAUAAAUAGUGUUGAAUGAGUGAGUGUGUUGAACCUGAUCUUCAGUUUCCUUAUCUACAAAAUGGGGAAAAAUUUCUCCUCUGCAGGGUAGUAAAGUGCCUGGUCCACAGCAGGUGAUCCACGAAUGUUGGUGCCCUUCCUCCACGCUCCCGUCCCAUCUGCCGUGCCCAGAGAAGUUCUGGUACUUUAAAAACCCUGUGAUGACUGCUCUUUUUUAUAGUGCAAGGACUUUUUUUGCAAAGCAAAUGAGCCCUCCCAGAUUUAUCUACUUUGGAAACUGGGUGUUUUUGUUUGUAUUGGACUUUCUUAAAGUGAGCCAACUGAGUGUGUAUAACUAUAGAAAUGUAUAAAUGUAUAUUUUAAUACCUUGUUGCAAUAGUUCAUGAUUAUGCAGAUUCCGAGAGAGUAGGUUCAAAUUACGCCUCCUUGAAGCAUACCCACGACUGCAGAGACACAAACUUCAGAGGCAGGGCUGCCGCAGCUCAGCAUGGCUGGCGGAGAGCUUGCCCUGGUCACGGCUGGGUUUGCAUCAAGGAGCCUCCACUUACCAGUUGCUUGACCAGUGGGCAAGCUACUGACCCUCUCUAGGACUGAGUUUUCUCUUCUGUAAAAGGUGGGGGGAGGGCCGGUUAACAUUUGUAUCCAUCUUGUAGCAUAACAAUCCUGUUAAAUGACGCCAUGCACUCAUUCAUUCCAUGAAAGCUUAUUGAACACUUCCUAUGUGUCAAGCACUGUUCUGAGCUCUGGUGAUUCAGCAGUAAGACAUACACUGCCUCAUGGGGCUUACAGUCUAAUGGGGAGAGAAUGUACAUGGAGAUCUUGAAACAGUGCUCAAUGAGUGCUGGCCAGGAGGACGACUGUGUGUACAGGGUGGCUCUACAGUGACAUCGUUUAUGGAUAUAGGUCCGUGUCUCCAUAGCUUCUUCUCUGGGAGAAGAUGUACAUGUGGCUGGACAUAUCUCCAUGGAACUGACCUAUGGCAGGAGUUGGAACUGCUCCUUUUUUUCAUGAGCCUGGGAUUCUUUGUGUGUGUGUGUGUGUGUAUUUUGGGACUGGUGGGUGUGGGAGGAUGUGUGGCAUUCUGUGGACAGGUCUCAAUUUCAUCUUUCCUUGCCCCCCUUCGUGUACGACUUAUUGCCUUCUCUCACAUGCACACUCCUCCUUCCACACUCUGCUUUGGCUCACCCUGUUCCCUGCUCCUGAACUGCUUGCUUCCUGUCCCUGCAAACACCACCUGUCCUUCCAGGUCCUCCUUCAUGAAGCUGUCCCUGCCCGCUCAGCUGGAAGAAAUCCCUCCCUUGACUCUCCAUCUUCCUCCUCUCUCACGGCUUGUGUCCCUUUCCUUCCCAGUGUCCCUUGGCCUGUUUCUGUUCCCCUGCUGGGCCAUGAACUCCUUCAGGAAUAGACUCUGUUCUAUUCAUCUCUGUGUCCUCUGCACCACCUUGUUUUACUUGAAAUAGAUUCCCAACAAACAUUUCUUAGGCAAUUACACAAAUGUAUGGCUUAGCAGAUUUAUUUAGAAUCAUCAGACUUUAUACUUUUUCUGGGUGUGGGAGAUCCGAAGCAGGCGCCUUGUGUGGAGCAAUAAUGGCCUUUUUUGCCUGUGUGCAGAAGCUCCUGCGUGGAUGCUGCAACCCACGCCUGUGUACUUUCACACGCAUCCGCGAGGCCCUGGCGGUCGUCUUGGGUGUGUACGUGGGGGGAUAUGGUGGCAGCCCAGUGCCCAGUGAUGGAUGAGGGGGGUGGAGGUGACUUUCCCAAGGGAAGAUUAGCGCCUGGCAGCUAUGAUUUGUCUCGUGCCCUCCUGUCCUUUUGCUGGGCCCCACUGCAGAGCCAUUCAUUACAGAGGCUGCUGUCACAGGGCUGGGGGCAGGGGCUGAGCAAUGUGUGUUGGGGAGGUGGUGGGCUGGACCCCUUCCUCGGAGAGACUCUCGUGCUAGAGACCAGAGCCCACUCUGCGGCCAUGUAGCAUCCUCCAGAGUUGUGAAGAAGAGGACCGAGUUGCAAUUCACCUUCUAGGACAUACCCCCGUGCUCAGGGGAGGGGUGUCCAUUCCUCCAUUCACUCACUUGACAAACAAUUUCCCUAAGUGCCCACCAGACCUGUUCUCUUGCUUUAAGGAACUCACCCUCACUGGAGGAAGGUGGGCAUGUAAUCAGACAGUGCAAGGAGGGUGGCAGGCUUGUGAGUCAGGCGCCCUCCAGCCUGGAGCACCUGAGGGCAAGCGAGAAGCCACAGAGGAUGGUGGAAAGAGCACUGAACUUGGAGGCUGAAAACUUAGGCUUGAGUCUUGGUUUUAUUACUUACUAGUGUUGUGGCUGUGGACAAAUCACUUCAAACCUGCUUAGUUAAGCCUUAGUGCUUUUUCAAUUGGAAGGUGCUGUACAGGUGUGUGGGAUCAUUGCUUCCUCCAUUCUGCUGCAGGGAGGGGUGUGGGCACAGGGAAGCUAGAUGAAAUUCCAAGAAAAAAAUAAUACCCCCCCCUUGUAUUUAUACAGCCCUCUACAGUUUACAACACAGUUUUACGCUCUUUAUAUUUCUUGAUCCUUACAGCAACGUUGCAAGCUAGGUCAAGGCAGGCAUUAUUAACUCCCAUUUUGUGGGGCAGAAAGAAGCUCAAAGAGGACAAAUGUCUUGCCCAAGGUCACUCAGUUAGUAGGUGGAUGAGCUAGGACUGGAAUCUCGUUCUUUCUGAUACUCAGGCCUGUGUACUCUUUUCCUAUUUUCUACACACCGGAGUUCCUCCUCUUUGAUAAGACCCUCCAUUCAUCUCUGCUCCAGUCUGGAUGAUAUUACCCCCACCCCUUGAGACCCCCAUCUCAUGAAUGGACGCAGUACUUUCCCCAUUCCAACCUUCACUGUGCCAACUCAUGGCCACUUUUGGACACAAUGGUGUCAGGGGGUGGGGGAUGAGCAAAGAGGAAUCUUAGAGGGAGAGAAGAGGGCAAGCGGAGAUUUUCCAAAAGCCCUCACCCAAAUCUGGCAUGCCAACUGUUAAAUUAGUAUGGUAAGGGGAGAAGGAGAAGAAAAUGCAAGAAAGAAAGAAAAAGAGAGAGAAAUGUAAAUUGGGAUGGAGAGUGUGAAGAGGGAAUGGGGAAGAGGAAAUACAAGUGAAUGGGGGAUGAGACAGGAACGAAUCUGGGAGAAGUGAGGAAAGAAGGAGAGAAAGGGGGAAUGAGG